Molecule: ribosomal RNA, 2891 nt
Filed under: Vibrio parahaemolyticus
Lineage: Bacteria; Pseudomonadati; Pseudomonadota; Gammaproteobacteria; Vibrionales; Vibrionaceae
Description: 23S ribosomal RNA
Rfam family: Bacterial large subunit ribosomal RNA
Source: RNAcentral
GGUUAAGUGACUAAGCGUACACGGUGGAUGCCUUGGCAGUCAGAGGCGAUGAAAGACGUAGUAACUUGCGAUAAGCCCAGAUUAGGUAGUAACAACCAUUUGAGUCUGGGAUUUCUGAAUGGGGAAACCCACUUACAUAAGUAAGUAUCAUUAACUGAAUACAUAGGUUAAUGAGGCGAACCGGGGGAACUGAAACAUCUAAGUACCCCGAGGAAAAGAAAUCAACCGAGAUUCCGAAAGUAGCGGCGAGCGAAAUUGGACUAGCCCUUAAGCUUUACACGCGUUAGACGAACGGUCUGGAAAGUCCGACGAUACAGGGUGAUAGUCCCGUAGUUGACGACGUGUGUUCAGUGAAAUCGAGUAGGGCGGGACACGUGAUAUCCUGUCUGAAUAUGGGGGGACCAUCCUCCAAGGCUAAAUACUACUGACUGACCGAUAGUGAACCAGUACCGUGAGGGAAAGGCGAAAAGAACCCCUGUGAGGGGAGUGAAAUAGAACCUGAAACCGUGUACGUACAAGCAGUAGGAGCAGGCUUUGUCCUGUGACUGCGUACCUUUUGUAUAAUGGGUCAGCGACUUAUAUUCAGUGGCAAGGUUAACCAUCUAGGGGAGCCGUAGGGAAACCGAGUCUUAACUGGGCGUUCAGUCUCUGGAUAUAGACCCGAAACCAGGUGAUCUAGCCAUGGGCAGGUUGAAGGUUGAGUAACAUCAACUGGAGGACCGAACCGACUAAUGUUGAAAAAUUAGCGGAUGACUUGUGGCUAGGGGUGAAAGGCCAAUCAAACCUGGAGAUAGCUGGUUCUCCCCGAAAGCUAUUUAGGUAGCGCCUCGGACGAAUACUACUGGGGGUAGAGCACUGUUAAGGCUAGGGGGUCAUCCCGACUUACCAACCCUUUGCAAACUCCGAAUACCAGUAAGUACUAUCCGGGAGACACACGGCGGGUGCUAACGUCCGUCGUGGAGAGGGAAACAACCCAGACCGCCAGCUAAGGUCCCAAAUUACUACUAAGUGGGAAACGAUGUGGGAAGGCUCAGACAGCCAGGAUGUUGGCUUAGAAGCAGCCAUCAUUUAAAGAAAGCGUAAUAGCUCACUGGUCGAGUCGGCCUGCGCGGAAGAUGUAACGGGGCUAAGUAGUAAACCGAAGCUGCGGCAAUGUGCUUUUGCACAUUGGGUAGGGGAGCGUUCUGUAAGCGGUUGAAGGUGUGUGGUAACGCAUGCUGGACGUAUCAGAAGUGCGAAUGCUGACAUGAGUAACGAUAAAGGGGGUGAAAAACCUCCUCGCCGGAAGACCAAGGGUUCCUGUCCAACGUUAAUCGGGGCAGGGUAAGUCGACCCCUAAGGCGAGGCCGAAAGGCGUAGUCGAUGGGAAACGGGUUAAUAUUCCCGUACUUCUUACAAUUGCGAUGGGGGGACGGAGAAGGCUAGGUGGGCCUGGCGACGGUUGUCCAGGUUCAAGUGCGUAGGCUUAAGAGUUAGGUAAAUCCGGCUCUUUUUAAGGCUGAGACACGACGUCGAGCACCUACGGGUGUGAAGUCAUUGAUGCCAUGCUUCCAGGAAAAGCCUCUAAGCUUCAGAUUGUAAGGAAUCGUACCCCAAACCGACACAGGUGGUCGGGUAGAGAAUACCAAGGCGCUUGAGAGAACUCGGGUGAAGGAACUAGGCAAAAUGGUACCGUAACUUCGGGAGAAGGUACGCUCUCGACGGUGAAGUCCCUCGCGGAUGGAGCUAUUGAGAGUCGCAGAUACCAGGUGGCUGCAACUGUUUAUUAAAAACACAGCACUGUGCAAAAUCGUAAGAUGACGUAUACGGUGUGACGCCUGCCCGGUGCCGGAAGGUUAAUUGAUGGGGUUAGACUUCGGUCGAAGCUCUUGAUCGAAGCCCCGGUAAACGGCGGCCGUAACUAUAACGGUCCUAAGGUAGCGAAAUUCCUUGUCGGGUAAGUUCCGACCUGCACGAAUGGCGUAAUGAUGGCCACGCUGUCUCCACCCGAGACUCAGUGAAAUUGAAAUCGCUGUGAAGAUGCAGUGUACCCGCGGCUAGACGGAAAGACCCCGUGAACCUUUACUACAGCUUGGCACUGAACAUUGACCCUACAUGUGUAGGAUAGGUGGGAGGCUUUGAAGCAGGUACGCCAGUAUCUGUGGAGCCGUCCUUGAAAUACCACCCUUGUAGUGUUGAUGUUCUAACGUCGACCCCUUAUCGGGGUUGCGGACAGUGCCUGGUGGGUAGUUUGACUGGGGCGGUCUCCUCCCAAAGAGUAACGGAGGAGCACGAAGGUGGGCUAAUCACGGUUGGACAUCGUGAGGUUAGUGCAAUGGCAUAAGCCCGCUUGACUGCGAGAAUGACAAUUCGAGCAGGUGCGAAAGCAGGUCAUAGUGAUCCGGUGGUUCUGAAUGGAAGGGCCAUCGCUCAACGGAUAAAAGGUACUCCGGGGAUAACAGGCUGAUACCGCCCAAGAGUUCAUAUCGACGGCGGUGUUUGGCACCUCGAUGUCGGCUCAUCACAUCCUGGGGCUGAAGUCGGUCCCAAGGGUAUGGCUGUUCGCCAUUUAAAGUGGUACGCGAGCUGGGUUUAGAACGUCGUGAGACAGUUCGGUCCCUAUCUGCCGUGGGCGUUGGAAGAUUGAAGGGGGCUGCUCCUAGUACGAGAGGACCGGAGUGGACGAACCUCUGGUGUUCGGGUUGUGUCGCCAGACGCAUUGCCCGGUAGCUAAGUUCGGAAUCGAUAACCGCUGAAAGCAUCUAAGCGGGAAGCGAGCCCUGAGAUGAGUCUUCCCUGAUACUUUAAGUAUCCUAAAGGGUUGUCGGAGACUACGACGUUGAUAGGUCAGGUGUGUAAGUGCUGUGAGGCAUUGAGCUAACUGAUACUAAUUGCCCGUGAGGCUUAACCAU